RNAcentral lists this ribosomal RNA (433 nucleotides) under uncultured bacterium. RNAcentral's name for it is "partial 16S ribosomal RNA". It matches the Rfam family "Bacterial small subunit ribosomal RNA", at positions 29 to 507 of the family's 1533-position model. The record is from RNAcentral.
AACGAACGCUGGCGGCAGGCCUAACACAUGCAAGUCGAGCGGACCUUUCGGGGUCAGCGGCGGACGGGGGAGUAACGCGUGGGAAUAUGCCCUUCUCUACGGCAUAGUCCUGGGAAACUGGGGGUAAUACCGUAUACGCCCUUUGGGGGAAAGAUUUAUCGGGGAAGGAUUAGCCCGCGUUGGAUUAGGUAGUUGGUAGGGUAAUGGCCUACCAAGCGGACGAUCCAUAGCUGGUUUGAGAGGAUGAUCAGCCACACUGGGACUGAGACACGGCCCAGACUCCUACGGGAGGCAGCAGUGGGGAAUCUUAGACAAUGGGGGCAACCCUGAUCGAGCCAUGCCGCGUGAGUGAUGAAGGCCUUAGGGUUGUAAAGCUCUUUCAGCUGGGAAGAUAAUGACGGUACCAGCAGAAGAAGCCCCGGCUAACUCCGUG